RNAcentral lists this ribosomal RNA (253 nucleotides) under uncultured bacterium. RNAcentral describes it as "partial 16S ribosomal RNA". It matches the Rfam family "Bacterial small subunit ribosomal RNA", at positions 526 to 779 of the family's 1533-position model. The record is from RNAcentral.
CGUAGGUGGCAAGCGUUGUCCGGAAUUAUUGGGCGUAAAGGGCUCGCAGGCGGUUCCUUAAGUCUGAUGUGAAAGCCCACGGCUCAACCGUGGAGGGUCAUUGGAAACUGGGGAACUUGAGUACAGAAGAGGAGAGUGGAAUUCCACGUGUAGCGGUGAAAUGCGUAGAGAUGUGGAGGAACACCAGUGGCGAAGGCGACUCUCUGGUCUGUAACUGACGCUGAGGAGCGAAAGCGUGGGAGCGAACAGGAUU